UGAAAACAUCAUCUAUAUAUCGCCACCAGAGCACCAGUGAGGCCCUCCAGUCAUGACCAUUUGCUUGCCCAGGGUCCAAUCAAAGAAAGCCCUGAGACACUCUAGAGCCCUAAAACACUUUAGUUUGCUGAAAUGCUAUUUUUUACUUUGCAAAAAGUGCAGAUUUCAAAUUUGAAAUUGACACUUUUAGAAAUUAACCUGGUUACACCCCUUGGCUUUCAAGCAGACAACAGGUUAUGUUAAACAAACAAAAUUACAAAGGCA
Molecule: non-coding RNA, 264 nt
Organism: Pelobates cultripes (western spadefoot toad)
Lineage: Eukaryota; Metazoa; Chordata; Amphibia; Anura; Pelobatidae
Source: the annotation of a GenBank genome assembly